UUUAGUGUUUAGGGUUGGUAGAGUUUUAGCGUUAGAUGGGAUUUAUGGUUAGGUCUAGGUAGGGUUUUAGGGUUAGGUUUAGGCAGGGUUUAGGGUUAGCAAGGUUUAGGGUUAGGUAGGGAUUAGGGUUAGAAAGAGUUUAGGGUUAGGUAAGGUUUUUAGGGUUAGGGAGGGGGUUAGGAAGGGUUUAGGGUUAGAAAUGGUUUAGGGUUAGUAGGGUUUAGGGUAAGGUAGGGUUUAGGGUUAGGUAGGGUUUAGGGUUGGGUAGGGUUUAGGGUUGGUAGGGUUUAGGGUUAGGUAGGGUAUAGGGUUAGGUAGAGUUUAGGGUUAGGUAGGGUUUAGGGUUAGGUAGGGUUUAAGGUUAGUAGGGCUUAGGGUUAGUAGGGUUUAGGAUAAGGUAGGGUUUAGGGUUAGUAGGGUUUAGGGCUAGAAAGGGUUUAGGGUUAGAAAUGGUUUAGGGUUGGUAGGGUUUAGGUUUAGGCAGGGUUUAGGUUUAGGUAGAGUUUAGGGUUAAAAAGGGUUUAGGGUUAGGUAGGGUUUUUAGGGUUAGGAAAGGUUUAGGGUUAGGAAGGGUUUAGGGUUAGGAAGGGUUUAGGGUUUGUAGGGUUUAGGGUAAGGUAGGGUUUAGGGUUAGGUAGGGUUUAGGGUUGGGUAGGGUUUAGGGUUGGUAGGGUUUAAAGUUAGGUAGGGUUUAGGGUUAGGUAGGGUUUAGGGUUAGUAGGGUUUAGGGUUAGUAGGGUGUAGGGUUAGAUAGGGUUUUGGGCUAGAAAGGGUUUAGGGUUAGAAAGGAUUUAGGGUUAGAAAAGUUUUAGGGUUAAGUAGGAUUUAGGUUAGGUAGGGUUUAGGGUUAGUAGGGUUUAGGGUUAUGUAAGGUUAGGUAGGGUUUAGAAUUAGGUAGGUUUAGAGUUAGCAUGGUUUAGGUUUAGAAAGGGUUUACGGUUAGUAGGGUUUAGGGUUACUAGGAUUUAGGGCUAGAAAGGGUUUAGAGUUAGGUAGGGUUUAGGGUUAGGCAUGGUUUAGGGUUAGGUCAGGUUUAGGGUUAGAAGGGGUUUAGGGUUAGGUAGGGUUUAGGGUUAGAAAGGGUUUAGGGUAGGUAGGGUUUAAAGUUUGGUAGGGUUUAGAAUUAGGUAGGGUUUAGGGUUAGGUAGGGUUUAGGGUUAGGUAGGGUCUAGGGUUAAAAAGGGUUUAGGGUUAGUAGGGUUUAAGGUUAGUAGGGUUUAAGAUUAGAAAGGGAUUAGGGUUAGAAAGGUUUUAUGUUAGGUAGGGUUUAGGUUAGGUAGGAUUAGUAGGGUUUAGGGUUAUGUAGGGUUAAGGUUAGGUAGGGUUAGUAUAGGGUUAGUUAGGGUUUAGGGUUAGGGUUAGGUAGGGUUUAGGGUUAGGUUUUAGGUAGGGUUUUAGGGUUAGGAAGGGUUUAGGGUUAGGUAGGGUUUAGCGUUAAAUAGAGUUUAGGGUUAGGUGGGGUUUACGUUUAGGGUUAGGUAGGUUUACAGUUAGAUAGGUUUAGGGUUUAGGGAUUAGGGUUAGGUUUAUGUAGGGUUUAGGGUUGGAUAGGGUUAAGGUCUAGGUAUAGGUAGGGUUUAGGGUUAGGUUGGAUUUAGUGUUUUGGUAGUAGAAAAGGUUUAGCGUUUAGUUUAGGUUGGGUUUAAGGUUUGGUUUAAAAUAAUGCUUAGGAUUAUAGGGUUUAGGUAGGGGUGUCAAAAUGGGUUGAAAUUAAUGGGUUGACCCAAACCAAACCAAUCCAUGGUUCUAAUGGGUUAACAAUUUGGAUGUUAAUGGAUAAAUGGUUUUUAUGGGUUAAUGAGUUUAGUGAGCUGGAUUAAUAUUGGUUUGGAUCAAAAUGGUUUAUGGAUUAUCCAAUCCAACCCACUUUUUCUCACAUAAUUUUUUAGUCUCUCUCUCUUUCUUCUCUCACGAGACGCUCUCUCUUUCUCGAUCUCACGAGACCUUCAUCAUCGAUCACGACAUCGAUCAACCCUUUUGGGUCAUUGCUUUUGGGUUAUCGAUCGCAACACAUCAACUCAUCUUCCUUGUGAGUCAAACUCUAUUUUUUUUUCAAUUUGGCUUUAUGGGUCAUUGAUUUUGCUGAUUUGGGAUCAAUUUUGAAGUAAUUUUUUUCUGGGUUUGAAAGUGACUUUCAUGGAAGGAUUGUCUCAUUGUUUGGUUUAUUUAUUUGUAUUGAUGUACCUUUGUUCUUCUUGAGUGAUGAUUGAAGCUAUUCAUGUUUAGUAGCCGAGUCUCUUUGUGAUGUUUUGAUUGUAGAAUGAGUUUUGAAUGUAUUUCUUCUAAGAGAUUUUAAGAUAUGAGUUUGCACUCAAAUGGUUGAUUUUGUGUUUUAGGUGAAACAAUGGACAGACAUAACAAGAGAAGUGAACGAAAUGAUGAAGUGGCUCGAUUGGAAUUAGAGACUUUUGUUUGUGUUCUAUUACCAAACGACCAUAGUUCUUGUUAAUGUGUAAUGGUGGAGACUAGAGAGGAUUGAUUUUGCUGAUUUGGGAUCAAUUUUGAAGUAAUUUUUUUCUGGGUUUGAAAGUGACUUUCAUGGAAGGAUUGUCUCAUUGUUUGGUUUAUUUAUUUGUAUUGAUGUACCUUUGUUCUUCUUGAGUGAUGAUUGAAGCUAUUCAUGUUUAGUAGCCGAGUCUCUUUGUGAUGUUUUGAUUGUAGAAUGAGUUUUGAAUGUAUUUCUUCUAAGAGAUUUUAAGAUAUGAGUUUGCACUCAAAUGGUUGAUUUUGUGUUUUAGGUGAAACAAUGGACAGACAUAACAAGAGAAGUGAACGAAAUGAUGAAGUGGCUCGAUUGGAAUUAGAGACUUUUGUUUGUGUUCUAUUACCAAACGACCAUAGUUCUUGUUAAUGUGUAAUGGUGGAGACUAGAGAGGCAAUCUUGUUUUUCUUGCUAGACAUUUGAUUUUCUGUUAAUUCAAAUAUUUUGAUGAGUUAUAUUAUAUAACUUGAGAAAAGAAAAUUAUAUAAUUUGCUAAUUUUUGAUUAGCAUUUUUAAUUAUUAAAUGUUAGUAAGUUGAUGGUAAUAUUAUUGUGAUAUAGUAAAUAUUUGUAAAUUAUGUUUACUAAUACUAUUGUUAAUGAGUCAACCCAAUAAAACCACUAACUCAUUAAUUUAAAUGGGUUAUGGUUUAACCCAAUCCAUUUAGUUAAUGGGUUGGAUUAACUCAUGAUCCAUAAACUGCUCAAUCCAUUUGGGUUUGGAUUGGAUUGGGUUGGUUUACCCAUAUUGACACCCCUAGGUUUAGGGUUUGUUUAUUUUUUGUUUAUGCAUUUAGUGCUGAGUUUUUCGAAUAAAAUUUUAUAUUAAUAUUAUUGAUUCAUAAUUUUUCUUAAAAUUUUAACGUAAUUUUUAAUGUUCUUAAAA
RNAcentral lists this long non-coding RNA (3367 nucleotides) under Brassica napus (rape). Its description in RNAcentral is "long non-coding RNA (BNAP_LNC008860)". Lineage: Eukaryota; Viridiplantae; Streptophyta; Magnoliopsida; Brassicales; Brassicaceae. The record is from RNAcentral.